This is a long non-coding RNA of Entelurus aequoreus (snake pipefish), 922 nucleotides long. RefSeq lists it as uncharacterized. NCBI's taxonomy places the organism in Eukaryota, Metazoa, Chordata, Actinopteri, Syngnathiformes, Syngnathidae. The record is from RefSeq and is a predicted model, not a curated record. The transcript is spliced from 5 exons.
AAGUGUUGUGUUUUGUGAACAAUCUGACGCCGGCUGAGUCAAGGCUGCACGCACAGUAGGUGGCGGUAAUGCACACACAAGGUUGCUUGCCAACCGCCAUAAAAAUCAUAAGAAGAAGAAGAAGAAGGAGAAGAAGAAGAAGACUGCACGCAUGCACAAUUGAAGCUGCUCCGUGAGACAAAGAAGGACGAAGGCUAACUACUUCCAGAAUCCCGAUUUUAAAGCAAUUUGGUGCGCCAUCCAUUUAUCACAGGUAAGUAUAGAAAGAGUGAAAUACGAAGCACGUUUUUGUAUAACAAUUUCCUUUCGAGACUCUUGAGCAGCUGAAGGCCUUCUGUGAACGGCUCGACACUGAUCUUCUGCUCAGAAAGCAGCUGGUGAAAGCUCUUACUGCUCUUGGUGGGCAGAAUUUGGCAGACACGGUGAGGACAAUGCUGAGGAAAAUUGCCACAAACAAAGUCCUGGAGCAGCUUGGCCUCCGUGGAAAGUCAGGAAAAGUGGCGUUUGAGGACUUGCCCCUUUACAGAAUAAUAAAUAAGGCAUGCAGGGGUGUUUACAAGCAGACGACCACAGCUGAAGUGGAUUGUGAGCUUGGAGAGGUCCUGAAACUGGCCACUUUUCGAAAGGGAGGUUCAAAAUUUGAGGAGAAGAGGAGGAAUUAAGAGGGAGGACAAAAAAGGAAAAAGAAACAAGCAAAAGAACAGAGUGAGAUGAGAGGAUUUGGGUUUCCCUGCUUGGGCUGCUGCCCCCGCAACCCGACCUCGGAUAAGCGGAAGAAGAUGGAUGGAUGGAUGGAUGGAUUUACUUCCAGGAAGAGAACCAAGAAGGGGCAGGAUACACUGACGCGCACGACCAAGACCACUGCAUUCCAUUCCAUUUGUAUUAUAGUUAUCACUAAUAAAGAAUUAUUUCUGUUGAAAUC